This 1382-nucleotide long non-coding RNA is filed under the name Homo sapiens (human). RNAcentral describes it as "non-protein coding lnc-ACO1-7:1". Lineage: Eukaryota; Metazoa; Chordata; Mammalia; Primates; Hominidae. The record is from RNAcentral.
UUUGAUAAUGCUGUUUUCCCAUCUGAUAUGAAGCAUUGGUCCUUCUUGGUGGGCAAAUGAUGCAAAAGGCCCACGGUCCAGAUGGACUGCAAGGAAGAGUCCAAAAACUUUUGUUCAAGAGAGUUAUCUUCUACAGUUCUAGCAAAGAUGAAGAAAUCACUGGUGCCUACCUUGGGGAGACUAUUACAAAUGCUCUUGUCAUAAUGUUAGCUUACUAUAAUUGUCAACAUCAAACUUCCAGAUGCUAGACCUAUUGUCGGUCUCAGUAUUCUGAGAAUUAUCAAAAAGUCAUUGACUGUUGCUGUUGUUUAUGGUUUUAAACAAGACGUUGGUGGUAAAAUAAAUUCUAAAGACUAACACUUAGUAAGAGAAGAUUUUCACAGACAAAAGGUCUAACAUUUUGUUUCUUAUUUCAAGUCCAAGUAUAAGAAAGACAUCAAUGAGAACAAGAGAAUUAACUCUCAUGUCUGUUCUACUUGUAAAUAUGCUGAAUGUACUUUCUGUUCAAAACUCAGGUCAAUAUUGAUACUGAUUUUCUUUAAGAUGAGGCUGACUCCUAUACCUCCAUCAUCUGUUCCAGUUCAAACAAGGAAAUGCUCAUCUGUAUUGUAGCCUUCUGAAUCUUUGGAGAAAGCCCUUCCCUAUGCAAAGCUAGACAAGUCACAGAUGAGUGUCCCCAUCCUGAUGGAUGAUUAUGCGUAUAACCUGAAUAUUCACAAAUUUUUACAGGACUUGUUCAAUGUAGAAAAUUUGACAGGAACAUCUGCCCCUGUGAGGCUGUUGUCUGUGGUGCAGCUGUUCAGGCAGGAAUCUCAUCUGGGUACAAAUCUGACAAUGUUCAACAUGUGCUGCUCUUGUAUAUCAGCAAUUUUUCCAUUGGUCUUGAACUCAAAAUGGUUCAUAUUGAACACAAUAUCAGCAUGCCCAAAAAACAGACACAGGCCUUCACUGCUUACUCAGAUAACCAGUUUAAUAUGCUCAUUCUAGUUUGUGAAGGUAGAUGUUCCAUAGCAACCUGCUUGGGAAGUUGUAACACACAGGCAUACUACUGUAUCCAUGGUGAGUCUCAAAUCAAAGUGACAAGGGCCGUUUGCUCAAAGAUGACAAUGAGUGUUCAAUUUAAGAGGCUAAGAAACACAAAGUUGAAAUGAGAAGAAGAGACAAGGUGUUCUAAGAGUUCUGUUAAAUCCCACAACUUGAACAGGAAAGCCAUAGUUGAAGGUAAGACAUAGCAACGCAGUGUCAAAGAUGAGGACAAACAUUCUUGACAAAUGUAAUGAAAUCAUGAACAAGUUUGUUGAGAAUAACAUUGCAAGGAAAGAUAAAUUUGGAUAUCAGCAAAAAGAGAUGGAGAAAGUCUGCAACCUCAGCAUUGUCAAGCU